This 912-nucleotide ribosomal RNA is filed under the name uncultured archaeon. RNAcentral's name for it is "bacterial SSU rRNA". It matches the Rfam family "Archaeal small subunit ribosomal RNA", at positions 23 to 922 of the family's 1478-position model. The record is from RNAcentral.
CUGACUGCUAUUGGAGUGGGACUAAGUCACGCUAGUCAAAGGCGCGGAAUGGAGCACCUGGCGUACGGCUCAGUAACACGUAGUCAACCUACCCUAAGGACGAGGACAACCACGGGAAACUGUGGCUAAUACUCGAUAAGAAAUUUGGCCUGGAACGGUAUCUUUCACAAAACCGGCUCGCCGUGAGACACGGGCCUUAGGAUGGGGCUGCGGACGAUUAUGCUAGAUGGCGGUGUAAAGGACCACCAUGGCUACGGUCGGUAUGGGCGAUGGAAGUCGGAGCCCAGAGUCGGCUACUGAGACAAGGAGCCGAGCUUUACGAAGCUUAGCGGUCGCGAAAACUCGCCAAUGCACGAAAGUGUGAGUGGGCUACUCCAAGUGUCAUUCUUACGGAUGACUGUCGCUCAGUCUUACCAGCUGAGAAAGGAAGGAGAGGGCAAGGCUGGUGCCAGCCGCCGCGGUAAAACCAGCUCUUCGAGUGGUCAGGACGAAUAUUGGGUCUAAAGCGCUCGUAGCCGGACAAGUAGGUUCUUGGUUAAAUCCGACAGCAUAACUGUUGGUCUGCUGGGAAUACCGCUAGUCUUGGAAGCGGGAGAGGACAGAGGUAGUCAUAGGGCAGGGGUGAAAUCCAGUGAUCCUAUGGCGACCACCGAUGGCGAAGGCAUCUGUCUGGAACGUAUUCGACGGUGAGGGGCGAAAGCUAGGGGAGCGACCCGGAUUAGAUACCCGGUUAGUCCUAGCCGUAAACGAUGCGGACUAGGUGUUACAGCGGCCAAGAGCCACUGUAGUGCCACAGCGAAGGCGUUAAGUCCGCCACCUGGGGAGUACGGAUGCAAGUCUGAAGCUUAAAGGAAUUGACGGGGGCGCACCACCAGGAGUGAAGCCUGCGGUUUAAUUGGAGUCAACGCCGGG